RNAcentral lists this ribosomal RNA (732 nucleotides) under uncultured Bacillus sp. RNAcentral's name for it is "bacterial SSU rRNA". It matches the Rfam family "Bacterial small subunit ribosomal RNA", at positions 61 to 773 of the family's 1533-position model. Lineage: Bacteria; Bacillati; Bacillota; Bacilli; Caryophanales; Bacillaceae. The record is from RNAcentral.
GUCGAGCGAAUGGAUUAAGAGCUUGCUCUUAUGAAGUUAGCGGCGGACGGGUGAGUAACACGUGGGUAACCUGCCCAUAAGACUGGGAUAACUCCGGGAAACCGGGGCUAAUACCGGAUAAUAUUUUGAACCGCAUGGUUCGAAAUUGAAAGGCGGCUUCGGCUGUCACUUAUGGAUGGACCCGCGUCGCAUUAGCUAGUUGGUGAGGUAACGGCUCACCAAGGCAACGAUGCGUAGCCGACCUGAGAGGGUGAUCGGCCACACUGGGACUGAGACACGGCCCAGACUCCUACGGGAGGCAGCAGUAGGGAAUCUUCCGCAAUGGACGAAAGUCUGACGGAGCAACGCCGCGUGAGUGAUGAAGGCUUUCGGGUCGUAAAACUCUGUUGUUAGGGAAGAACAAGUGCUAGUUGAAUAAGCUGGCACCUUGACGGUACCUAACCAGAAAGCCACGGCUAACUACGUGCCAGCAGCCGCGGUAAUACGUAGGUGGCAAGCGUUAUCCGGAAUUAUUGGGCGUAAAGCGCGCGCAGGUGGUUUCUUAAGUCUGAUGUGAAAGCCCACGGCUCAACCGUGGAGGGUCAUUGGAAACUGGGAGACUUGAGUGCAGAAGAGGAAAGUGGAAUUCCAUGUGUAGCGGUGAAAUGCGUAGAGAUAUGGAGGAACACCAGUGGCGAAGGCGACUUUCUGGUCUGUAACUGACACUGAGGCGCGAAAGCGUGGGGAGCAAAC